CACCUUCGAUCUAUCCCUCUGUUGAUCACUUUGAGUAAUUAGAGCAUCUCCACCCCUAGAUGUAAGAUCUCAACUAAUAGGUCCAUCUUCUUUUUUGAGAACAGAGCGUCAUAUAUCUCCUCAAUGGUCAGUAUGUCACGACUAUACAAUGUAGUAUCACGAAACAAUGAAAAAGAACUGGGUAGCGAACACAACAUAUUUUACCUCCAACGUCUCUAAAUCUACGACAAUCUCCUUGAACACAGUAAGAUGGUCCUGCAGUGACCCUCCUUCCACCAUGCAAUGGGAAUACAACUUCUACUUUAGAGCUAGUUUGCUCGCUAGACUCUUUGUCAUGCACAACUGCUCCAGCUUAAGCCACAAAGCAGUCAUCGUCUUCUCCUUCAAGACAUCCUACAGAAUAUUGUUGGUUAAGUAAAGAUGAAUCUGUGCUAGAGCCUUUCGAUCCCUCCGUUGUUUCUCUUCAAUAGACAAAUUUGCUGGCAUCCUCUCAAAACCUAGCAAAGCAUCGUUAAGAUCAAUCUGUGUCAACACAGCCCUCACCUUUACUUGCCACAGCAAAAAUCUUGUAUUGUGAUCCAACAGCGAAAUUUCAUACUUCAACGAAUUCAUCCUUGAAAAAUCUCAAUCAAAUCACGAAAAACCUGCAACCCAUGCUCUG
Molecule: long non-coding RNA, 661 nt
Filed under: Olea europaea subsp. europaea
Lineage: Eukaryota; Viridiplantae; Streptophyta; Magnoliopsida; Lamiales; Oleaceae
Source: RNAcentral